UGAGGAAUAUUGGUCAAUGGACGGGGAGUCUGAACCAGCCAAGUAGCGUGCAGGAUGACGGCCCUAUGGGUUGUAAACUGCUUUUGUGCGGGGAUAAAGUGUGGGACGCGUCCCAUAUUGCAGGUACCGCAUGAAUAAGGACCGGCUAAUUCCGUGCCAGCAGCCGCGGUAAUACGGAAGGUCCGGGCGUUAUCCGGAUUUAUUGGGUUUAAAGGGAGCGUAGGCGGUCUGGUAAGUCAGCUGUGAAAACGCGGGGCUCAACUCCGCGCCUGCAGUUGAUACUGUCGGACUUGAGUGCACGCAGGGAUGCCGGAAUUCAUGGUGUAGCGGUGAAAUGCUUAGAUAUCAUGAAGAACUCCGAUCGCGAAGGCAGGUGUCCGGAGUGCUACUGACGCUGAGGCUCGAAAG
Molecule: ribosomal RNA, 408 nt
Filed under: uncultured Prevotellaceae bacterium
Lineage: Bacteria; Pseudomonadati; Bacteroidota; Bacteroidia; Bacteroidales; Prevotellaceae
Description: bacterial SSU rRNA
Rfam family: Bacterial small subunit ribosomal RNA
Source: RNAcentral